UCCUGUCGGUCCAAGUCGCAGCCACUAUUAUUGGGUCUAAAAUAUCCGUAGCUUGCCUGAAAAGUUUCCUGUGAAAUCCUAACUCUUAAGGUUAGGGCGUGCAGGAGAUACUCUCAGGCUAGAGACCGGAAGAUGUGAGAAGUAUGUCCGAAGUAGCGGUAAAAUGUUUUAAUCUCGGGCAGACUAACAAGAGCGAAGGCAUCUCACAAGGACGGUUCUGACAGUGAGGGAUGAAGGCUAGGGGCGCAAAACGG
Molecule: ribosomal RNA, 254 nt
Filed under: uncultured archaeon
Lineage: Archaea
Description: partial 16S ribosomal RNA
Rfam family: Archaeal small subunit ribosomal RNA
Source: RNAcentral